This 3039-nucleotide ribosomal RNA is filed under the name Phycisphaerae bacterium. RNAcentral describes it as "23S ribosomal RNA". It matches the Rfam family "Bacterial large subunit ribosomal RNA". The record is from RNAcentral. Lineage: Bacteria; Pseudomonadati; Planctomycetota; Phycisphaerae.
AUAUGGUCAAGUUACUAAGGGUGUAUGGUGGAUGUCUAGGUGUCGAGAGGCGAUGAAGGACGUGGCUGGCUGCGAUAAGCCCGGGUUAGGUGUCGAGCAACCGUUGACCCCGGGAUCUCCGAAUGGGGCAACCUGUCCGGACCGGGCAACCGGGUCCGGAUAUCCAUGGCUGAAUGCAUAGGCCAUGAGAAGCAAACACAGGGAACUGAAACAUCUCAGUACCUGUCGGAAAGGAAAUCAACCGAGACUCCGUAAGUAGCGGCGAGCGAAAUCGGAACAGCCCAAACCGAAGGGCUUGCUCUUCGGGGUUGUGGGCGCUGAUCAGGAGUUACAAAGGCGGCAUUAGCAAAAGGGUCUGGAAAGUCCCGCCACAGAAGGUGAUAGCCCUGUAUGUGAAAGUGCACGCCCUCCGUUACGGUCAGCGUACCAGAGUAGCACGGAACUCGAGAAACUCCGUGUGAAGCUGGGGGGUCCCCCCUCCAAGGCUAAGUACUCCUCGACAACCGAUAGUGAACCAGUAAGGCGACUGAACGAUGAAAAGAACCCCUACUAGGGGAGCGAAAAGAAUCUGAAACCAUACACUUACAAACGGUGGGAGCCCUAUGUUUGCCUCCGGGCAAAAAUGGGUGACCGCGCGCCUUUUGCAUAAUGAGCCGGCGAGUUACCUUUUGCGGCCAGGUUAAGCGCUUCAGGCGCGAAGCCGCAGCGAAAGCGAGUCUGAAUAGGGCGAUUUAGUCGCAAGGGGUAUACGCGAAACCAAGUGAUCUACCCAUGGCCAGGUGGAAGGGGAUGUAAUGAUCCCUGGACGACCGAACCCACAAACGUUGAAAAGUUAGGGGAUGAGCUGUGGGGAGGAGUAAAAGUCUAAUCAAACUUGGAGAUAUCUCGUUCUCUCCGAAAUAGCUUUUGGGCUAGCCUCGAGUUAUUGUUUUGCGGGGGUAGAGCUACUGAUUGGAGAUAGGGGGCCACCAGCCUGCCUACUCCUACCAAACUCCGAAUACCGCAAAAUCUACCUCGGGAGUAAGACUACGGGUGAUAACAUUCGUGGUCAAAAGGGAAAGAACCCAGAUCGUCAGCUAAGGCCCCCAAUUCCUGCUCAGUUCGAAAGGAAGUCGGAUUGCUGUGACAAUCAGGAUGUUGGCUUAGAAGCAGCCACCAUUUAAAAAGUGCGUAAUAGCUUACUGAUCGAGCAGUUCGGUGCCGAAAAUAAACGGGAAUAAGCAGGAAGCCGAAGCUACGGAUGAUCCGGACACCGGACCCAGGGCCCGCGCGGAAUUUGCGCGGGGUCUUCGGUCCGUUGUCCGGGUCGUGGUAGGAGAGCGUAGCAGUCCGCGUCGAAGCGAUACGGAAACGAGUCGUGGAGCGUCUGCUAGUGAUUAUGCCGGCUUGAGUAACGAGAAAGCGGGUGAGAAUCCCGCUCGCCGAAAACCUAAGGUUUCCUGGGGAAGGUAAAUCCGCCCAGGGUUAGUCGGCCCCUUAGUCGAGGCUGAAAGGCGUAGACGAUGGACAGCAGGUUAAUAUUCCUGCACUAUGUAUCGAAGGCUCGAACUGUGGGAGUGACGCAGAGGCAACCGCUGGAAGCCGAUUAGUCGUGGCUAUCGUGCCUGCGGCGCCGCUGGUAGGCAAAUCCGCCAGCACAAGGUGCCAAUGGACCGCGAGGGGCGAUUUUGAUCCCCGAGCAGCCAGAGUUUCUGCCGAGAAAAACUUCAAACAGGACAACGAUGCAUAACCGUACUAAAACUGACACAGGUAGGUGAGGAGAAUAUCCUCAGGCGCUCGAGAAAACCGUACCUUAAGGAACUAGGCAAUUUGACCCCGUACGUUCGCAAGAAGGGGUGCCUCCAGCGACAUGGUUAACCCUAUGUCGGCUGAGGCCGCAGUGAAGUGGCUCUGGCGACUGUUUACCAAAAACACAGUUCUCUGCUAACACACACAGUGGAUGUAUAGAGAAUGACGCCUGCUCGGUGCCGGAAGGUUAAGGGGAAGGGUCAGCUGUCGCAAGACGGUGAAGCUCCUAACUGAAGCCCCGGUAAACGGCGGCCGUAACUAUGACGGUCCUAAGGUAGCGAAGUUCCUUGUCGGGUAAGUUCCGACGUGCAUGAACGGCGUAACGACUGGAGCAGUGUCUCAAGGACGGACUCGGUGAAAUAGUAGUUGUAGCGAAGAUACUACAUGCCCGCGGCAAGACGGGAAGACCCCGUGAACCUUUACUGUAUCCUGGUAUUGACGCCUGGCAUAUCAUGCGUAGGAUAGGUGGGAGGCUGUGAAGCGGUGCUCUUGGGCAUCGUGGAGCCGUCGUUGAAAUACCACCCUUGCUAUGUUAGUCGCCUAACCGCAUCCCGUGAAUCCGGGUGCGGAACCGUGCUAGGUGGGCAGUUUGACUGGGGCGGUCUCCUCCAAAAAAGUAACGGAGGAGUUCAAAGGUACCCUCAGCGUGGUUGGCAAUCACGCAGCGAGUGCAAAGGCACAAGGGUGCUUAACUGUGAGACUUAUCAGUCGAGCAGAUGCGAAAGCAGGACUUAGUGAUCCGGUGGUCCCGCGUGGAAGGGCCAUCGCUCAUCAGACAAAAGGUACUCUGGGGAUAACAGGCUGAUCUCUCCCGAGCGUUCAUAGCGGCGGGGAGGUUUGGCACCUCGAUGUCGGCUCAUCACAUCCUGGGGCUGUAGGCGGUCCCAAGGGUUCGGCUGUUCGCCGAUUAAAGUGGUACGCGAGCUGGGUUCAGACCGGCGUGAGCCAGGUCGGUCCCUAUCUGCCGUGGGCGCAGGAAUCUUGAGGGGAUGCUUCUUUAGUACGAGAGGAUUGGGAAGUACGAAUCCCUGGUGUACCGGCUGUCCCGCUCGGGGCACCGCCGGGUAGCUAAAUUCGGAAAGGAUAACCGCUGAAAGCAUCUAAGCGGGAAGCCCACCCCAAGAUAAGGAUUCCCUGUUCGACUCGUUCGAACGAGAGGGCCCUGGAAGACUACCAGGUUGAUAGGCCGGAUGUGUAAGCGCGGAAACGCGUUCAGCUUACCGGUACUAACGCCCGAUGACUUGACCAUAU